Molecule: long non-coding RNA, 2159 nt
Organism: Denticeps clupeoides (denticle herring)
Lineage: Eukaryota; Metazoa; Chordata; Actinopteri; Clupeiformes; Denticipitidae
Source: Ensembl
CCUUACAGUCAUCUUCGCCCGCUGAUGAAACGAUCCACACCCGUUCCAGCCUGGUACGACACAACUGGGCCUGAUACUGUGAAGAACAAAGCUUCAUUGUUCGCGCCGUGGAAUCCCGCAGCAUGUUCCAGUAAACAGCCCAUUCACCAUAUCCCCGAGCUUUCAGAUGCCGGAGAUCUGUGUGAUCCGUGGCUCAUAUGGACACUAGGUUUUAAGAAAUGGCAGCUGCACAACACAUCCCCUGACAUGGUUACGUCGUUCCGGCUCUAAAGCUGCAGUGUUCGGUUGCUGUGGCUACGCGUCAUAAAAUUGCUUGACAAAGAGGCUGUGUAAGAAGUACUGAGGUAGCUGGAACUACAGCAUGCACAUCACAGUUUUCAUCAACUAUCGACAGAUUGGCUCUUAGUGACAUGAAAUGAGAAGCUGGCUGAGGGACCUUUGGUGAAAAAGAACUGACAGGGUGACAUGGGGGCCAGCUGGACUCAGAGCUGGAGAGAUGAAUUUAAGUGUCAGAAAGUCUCCCUGACCUCAGCCACACCAGAGGUGCUGCUUCAGCCACGGUGGCACAUUCCUCCCAGCAUCUGGCUCUUCUAUCGCUUCUCAACAUUUGCCUGGACCCUGGCCUGGUGCGUGCACUCCGGUCUACUCUUCGGCUCACCCAAAUGCCUCUUUUUACUCAGCUACCUGACCUACUGUCUGUUGGCUUUGUACUCCUUCAUUGCCCUGAUUAACCUGAUCUCAGCCUACAUUAUCAUUAAAGGCUUCUUCAAGAAGGUGGUCAAAGAAAUUCGUCCGGGAGGCAGUCGUGAGAAUUGGGCAUCUCUUCCGUUCCCCGAUUCCCUGGCCAAAUCACUGCGUGCUCAGUGGCUCUUCCAGGUGGUCAGCGCAGCCUUCUCCCUCAUCGUCUCGUUCCUCUACUGGACCAUCCACUUCCCACUCGCCCGGUACCCCCUCAGAGCCUUCAACAUGAACCUGGACUACAUCAACUCCUGCUUAGUAGCGCUGGACAUCCUCCUGUCAUCCACUCCUGUUCAUCUCUGCCACUAUGUCUACCUGAUGGCAGCUUGGAGCCUCUAUGUGAUUUUCGCUCUGAUUAUCUGGCUCUCCAGCAUCACCACCCUGAGCGGCCAGCCCUAUAUCUACAGGGAGCUGGACUUUAUAGGUCGUCCCUUCACGACUGCUUUUUUCGUCCUCUGCUUCUAUGUGCUCUUCAUCCCUGCGUCCCAGUUUAUCCUUUGGAAUGUGCAGCUCCUGAGAGAGAGGAUCCUCGGCGGCCCUUUUGGCAGGUGGUUUGGCCUGAGGAGGGAAGCCUGGUGGUGGAGCUCCGUGGGAGGUUUGCCCCUUCGCCUGGCUCCUGCUGUGGAGUCCAGCUCCUCUGUGUUUGGAAGCAGGCGAGGGGAGAUGUCAAGGAUCCAUUCAAACAUUCAGACCACGGCCACCCAUUCUGUUUAAUUGCCGUUUUGACGCCCGACUGAGCCUGAAACAACCUGAUAUACAUUAAGAAUUUGAUCAAAUUAGCUUUAUGUUUUAAUAAUUAAGCAUAUUGUGUUAUACAUAUACAUGGGUUUUAAUGUUUCUAGCAAUAACCUUAACAACUGUACAAAAACGCUGCAUUAUGUGACAGUCAGUUCUGACCACGAAUGAUGAUUGGCUGACUUUUACAAUAUUCUCCUAUAAUUAUUUACAUCUCUGCCGGUUUGGAAAACAGAAAAUGAUGAGCAAAACACAUUUGAUUGCAAGCUUAACUUUUAUGUAUUUAAAUAUCCACAUAUUUUUUAUGCACUAAAAAGUUUAUUUUGAUUCUAAUUGUGUAUCUGAUAUUUGUGUGAAACCUGACACUAGACACUUUACUUUUAAAGAGAACCCAUAAAUCAUAUUCAUACAGUGAUUUUACUGUUAACACACCUUCAGUGUUUUGUUGUAUUGCCUAUCUUACGUUUGAGAUGUCACAAUGCUUAGUGUAGCCAACAGGGGGAAGCAAAACGUUUCAUAAGAAGAACUUAUGCCAGUGAAUGUCACUUACAGACGUAUCAUAUGCAACGAAUAAUGUACAUAAAUGCCUUACGAAAUAAUACAUACAUCCAAAUUGUUAAAACAACCAUCAUACAUGUCAUAUAUAAGUAACUAAUCAAGUGAAAGCUUCCUUUCACAUAUGGGAC